This 1113-nucleotide long non-coding RNA is filed under the name Anser brachyrhynchus (Pink-footed goose). Its description in RNAcentral is "lncRNA (ENSABRG00000011325.1)". Lineage: Eukaryota; Metazoa; Chordata; Aves; Anseriformes; Anatidae. The record is from RNAcentral.
ACAUCUUGCCAUAUAUAUAAAUAAUUUAUCUAGUGCAUAGGCUGUAUAUUUUUGUGUAAUUUUUUUAGUCACUUAUUUCAUCUUGUGUGAAUUUGUGGAGAAAACAGUCCUAUAUACAAUAUACAGUAAAAUGGUAGUUACAUGAUUAGAUUUGUUUCAUACAGUGUAACAAUAAAAGAAAACCUUUGCCUUCAAAGUAAUGUGUCACACAGUCUAGCCUAGAUAUUUUUUUUUUCUCCAAAUUCAAUACAUGCUUGUUGCACUUUGAACUAUUGCAUCAAAGAUAUAGGUAGUGGUGGCAGAAAGAAAGGUAACUUUUGAUUAUGUAAAGCAGUCAAGUAUUUAAAAAAAAAAAAAAAGAUGAACUGAAGUCAAACUGGUUGAAGUAAAAUAUAUCAGUUCUUUGUUUUCAUAAGCUGUGCUGUGUAACUUAAUUCUAAAGGAAGAAUAAUUAGGCACGUCUGCUUGGCCAGACAGAGACUACUGAGCACCUGCUCUCUCGGCUGUGAGCUGGCCGGAUGCAGGUCAUUUAGCUAAUUAUCAUGGCAAUGAGCCCAUGCUAAUAGGACCUGAGGGUUUAUGAAUGUUAGCAUGACAGUUAGGUUGACAUAACUUUAGUUAUGUGAGUCUGAAUCCAGACAGGUCUUUUUGCUUGGCACAGAGGUGGAGAAGUGCAGCCACUUUGUAUCAGGUUUCUUCCAGGUGUGACCUUAGGACUCAGCUGUGUAUCAAGCAAAAGAAGGAAAUGAGCAAGAAGGUAGUUUCUACAAUGGGCAGAAGACAACUCUCCUACUUUGUGUGGUGGUGAAAGUCAUGCUUUCAGACGGUACAUAUGGACUCUACUUGCAAUUAACAAAUAUUUUUUGAAGAUGUAAUUUUUUUCCUGGUCCUUACAUUCAUGAUCCAGCAUGAAAAAGUUAUUGUGUGAUAACUGCAAUGAAACUGAUGAUAUGUUUACGUUUUUUAUUUUUAUUAUUUUAGUGAUAUAGAGGUAUUUUGGUGGGGUUUAGUUUCAUACUUGAAACUAAGGCUCUAAUAGUAAAUGCAUUUGUGGUCUGUAAUCUGCCUUCAUAUUUAGUUCAAAGUAAUCUUUUUCUCAGGAAUUUAAAUCUG